GUAACGACUGUACCUGUUACUCUGCGAUUCUUGAUAUUUGUUUCUACCUCCAGAUCAAGACUGGAGCUCCCUGUCGAUCAGAACGUCUGGCCAAAUACAAUCAGCUCAUGAGGAUUGAGGAACAGUUGGGUGACCAGGCUCGCUUUGCUGGGCACAACUUUCGCAACCCCACUGCCCUUUGAGUGCCAUUAGCGUUAGCACACAAGCUAAUUAGCACGCUCAGCAUAUCAAUCACACUUUAUUUCCCUGACGGGCACAUAGUAAUGAAAUGAUCACACUUGUUUCCGCAGAGCUUUAACCUCACUAAGACACGAUUAAAAGCAUUAGGACUAAUCAUUUUCAAAUAACUGAAAUGCAUUGUAGCUACAGUAUAUUGACCAUACGCUUCAGCAAGUGAUUGACUUUAAUUGACUGCAGCCAGUUGCAGCGAAUCCUGAACAAAGAAUAGAGGAGAGAAAUCAGUGUUUCACCUCCUGGCAGCGAGCACUUUCCCUGAUGCACUCGUUAGUUUCUUUCUCUCUGUCUCCUUUUCACUCACGUCACUGCAGAUGUGUUUUGAUCUUUUGUCCCCUGAUGUUUCCUCUCCCUGUUCCUCAUGUCGUUUCUAAUGUGAACCUUCAGCAGCUUGCUACACAAUUGUAUCUCACUUUGUCUGGUUGUACCCAAUAAAGAAAUGGAAACAUAUUAAUUUGAA
Notothenia coriiceps (black rockcod) is the source of this 694-nucleotide long non-coding RNA. RefSeq lists it as uncharacterized. The transcript is spliced from 2 exons. The record is from RefSeq and is a predicted model, not a curated record. NCBI's taxonomy places the organism in Eukaryota, Metazoa, Chordata, Actinopteri, Perciformes, Nototheniidae.